AUGUUAUCCGAUCUCCGAGCCAGAUAAGCCUAAUGAGUGAUCGACGGCUUCUGGCCAGGGCUUCGAGCCCUCGGGGUAUAUCCGGAAACGGGUAUGCCUUCACUUUUGGAAAAGGAGGUGGGCAGGCUGUCAG
Regulatory RNA element from Peptococcaceae bacterium CEB3, 133 nucleotides. It matches the Rfam family "Molybdenum/Tungsten riboswitch aptamer (Moco RNA motif)". The record is from Rfam. NCBI's taxonomy places the organism in Bacteria, Bacillati, Bacillota, Clostridia, Eubacteriales, Peptococcaceae.